UAGGACGAACGCUGGCGGCGUGCCUAACACAUGCAAGUCGAGCGAGGAGAUUCCUUCGGGAUGAUCCUAGCGGCGACGGGUGAGUAACACGUGGGCAACCUGCCUCAUAGAGAGGAAUAGCCUUCCGAAAGGGAGAUUAAUACCUCAUAACAUUGCAGUUUCGCAUGGAACAGCAAUUAAAGGAGUAAUCCGCUAUGAGAUGGGCCCGCGGCGCAUUAGCUAGUUGGUGAGGUAACGGCUCACCAAGGCGACGAUGCGUAGCCGACCUGAGAGGGUGAUCGGCCACAUUGGGACUGAGACACGGCCCAGACUCCUACGGGAGGCAGCAGUGGGGAAUACUGCACAAUGGGGGAAACCCUGAUGCCAGCAACGCCGCGUGAGUGAUGACGGCCUUCGGGUUGUAAAGCUCUGUCUUCAGGGACGAUAAUGACGGUACCUGAGGAGGAAGCCACGGCUAACUACGUGCCAGCCGCCGC
RNAcentral lists this ribosomal RNA (476 nucleotides) under uncultured bacterium. RNAcentral's name for it is "bacterial SSU rRNA". It matches the Rfam family "Bacterial small subunit ribosomal RNA", at positions 26 to 518 of the family's 1533-position model. The record is from RNAcentral.